AUGACAAAGACCAAGGAAGACCAAGAAACUGCAAAGGAGAGCCAAACUACGGCUAAGAACGUCAGUCCAGUAUGUGAGAAGUUUACUAUUCAGGUUAGUGGCACCAUUCAGGAGCGCCAAGGAAAGAAAGUGGCCACUGUCAUUCUCGACACAUGUGUGCCACCAUCAGAAAAAGUGGUUACUUGUAUUUCAUCUCCUCAUGCUGAACCUUUGGAUUCGGUCCUUACACCUAUUUUAACCAUGACUACACCUCCACAUUCUGAUUUACAGGAGCCUAAAGAUAGAUCUAAACAGUCCCCAAAACAAAACAUUACCCAGUCUACACAAAGAGACCUAAGUGCAGUGCCUCAAACAAAGCCAUCUCUCUCCACCAAGCCUACUGACACUACACGUUUGGCAGACUGCACGGACAAGUUAUGGGAAAAUACAGGUGAGAUCCAGACGAGAUAUCUGGUCCUCGAUGUGCCAGAGAUAGGUGUCACCCAGACAUGUGAGAUAAAGCAAGAUCAGCCAGAGACUGUGGCUCAUAGUGACUCUCCUCAACCUACUUCUGCUGUUUUUGCAGUGGCGCAGCCUUGUAAGGCAGAGACCAAAUUUUCCAAAAUAAGCUCAUCUGUGCAGGACAUAAUGAAACCAAGUGGAACUGUGAGUCAGCUGAAACUCACACAGGAAAGACCCAAAGAAGAUAAGGAUUAUGAUGUCCAGAAAGAGCAUGGUAAAGUGUCGACACAUGGCGUGCAUGAUGCACCCAAGAGUCUAGAUGAAAAGUCUGUAAAGGCAAUUCACAUGGGGCCUGAAGUGCGCAUUUUACAACUAGAUAUACAGACCAGUCCAGAUGAGUAUGAAAACACAUCUGUUACAAGAUCAGAUAGGAUCAGACCAGUUAUAACAAAUAUCCAGAGCAAAAGCGUGCCAGAAAACAAAGAUGUGACUACUGCUGAUGUUAAACCAGAGAAGACUGCCGUUAAGAUGACUACAAUAGAAGUGCGAGAAAGUAGUACUGAAUGUCAAGACAAUGUGGCUCAAAGGGACACUGCCCAACACUCUCCUGCUUGUGAAGCAUUGCCACCAGAUGUGGAAUGGACAGAAUUUGUAGAAAUAAGCAUAUCUGAGCAAGAUAUGGUGAAAACAAGCCAAACUGAGACUCAAAGAGGUCUCUUAAAAACCCCACUGGAAAGAUCCAAAGUUGUCAAGGAACAUGGUGUAAAAGGACAGCUCCCUACACUGUCGCCACAUGCCAUGGAAGAUGUACCCAAAACCUUGGAUGAAAAAUUUGUUACGAUGGAGAAAAUCCACAGACGGCCUGAAGUGUGCAUCCUUAAACCAGAUUUACCGACCAGUCUGAAGAAGGAUGAAAACACGUCUCUCACAAGAGCAAAAGAGCAGAAGAUAGAUAUUGUGCAAAGAAGUAUCCCGGGUGAAAGAGUGCUGAAAAACAAAGAUGUUACAACUGCCGAUGUUAAACCAGAGAAAGCAUCCGUUGAAAUGACUAAGGGGCAAGAAAGCAGUACUGAAUGUCAAGACAAUGUGCCUCAAAUGGACUCUGCUUCUGAAUCAUUGCAACCACAUGAGAUAGAGACAGAAUUUAUAGAAAUAAGCUUAUAUGAUCAAGACAUAGUAAAACCAAGUCAAACUGACACUAAGAUAGGACUCUUGAAAAUUGCACAAGAUAGACCUACAGAGGUCAAGGAACAUGAAGUCCAAAAAAAGCAUCUUAAAAUGUCAACACAAGGUAUGCACGAUGUACCCAAGAGCAUGGAUGAAAAGUCUGUAAGGAUGGAGAAAACCCACAUGGAGCCUCAAGUUCGCACCCUACAACUAGAUAUACCAACCAGUCUGGAGAAGGAUGAAAACGCUUCAGUCAGUGCUAAAGUGUCAACAAAAGACGUGCAUGAUUCACCCAUGAGCCUUGAUGAAAAGUCUGUUAGGAUGGAUGAAGUCCACAUUUUACAACCUGGUACACAGGCCACUAUAAAGGAGCAUGUAAUCACAUCUAUAACAAUAGCACAGGCACCAAGGAUUGAUAAAGAUCAGACAAGUAUCCAGGGCAAAAGAAUGCCAGAAAACAAAGACCUGACUUCAGCUGAUGUUCAGGCAGAAAAGGCUGCAGUCAAGAUGACCAUCGCCGAAGAUAAGACCAAGGUAAAACCCAAAGAGGUCGAGGAUCAUGACGUGAAGGAAAUGCCUACCAAAGUAUCGACAAAAGAUGUGCAGGAUGCUCCUCAGGGCCUGGAUGAAAAGUCUGUUAGUAUGGAGAAAAUCCGCGAAGGGACUGAAAUGCGCAUUUUACAACCAGGUACACAGGCCACUAUAAAGGAGCAUGAAAUCACAUCUGUUACAAUGGCAAAAACAGCAAGGAUUGAUAAAGAUCAAACGCGUAUUCUGGGGGGAAAAGGGCGAGAAAACAAAGACCUGACUUCAGCUGAUGUUCAGCCAGAAAAGGCUGCAGUCAAGAUGACCAUGGCCGAACUGAAGACCAAGGAAAAACCCAAAGAGGUCAAGGAUCAUGACGGGCAAGAAGUGCAUACUAAAGUGUCUGCAAAGGACGUGCAGGAUGCACCUCAGGGCCUGGAUGAAAAGUCUGUUAGUAUGGAGAAAAUCCGCGAAGGGACUGAAAUGCACAUUUUACAGCCAGGUACACAGGCCACU
RNAcentral lists this long non-coding RNA (2649 nucleotides) under Cottoperca gobio. RNAcentral describes it as "lncRNA (ENSCGOG00000019306.1)". Lineage: Eukaryota; Metazoa; Chordata; Actinopteri; Perciformes; Bovichtidae. The record is from RNAcentral.